RNAcentral lists this long non-coding RNA (496 nucleotides) under Amphimedon queenslandica. Its description in RNAcentral is "uncharacterized LOC109584439, transcript variant X3". The record is from RNAcentral. Lineage: Eukaryota; Metazoa; Porifera; Demospongiae; Haplosclerida; Niphatidae.
CAUCUAACGAAAUCAAAGAAAUAUCUGAAGAUAUUGAAAACUUUAAUUGAUUGUUAGCGCUUGAGGUCCAGUACAAUGAGUUAACAUGUCUACCUAAUAAUGUGAUCAAACUGGAUAAACUAUCUAAAAUAUUUGCAAGUCUCUCCUAUAUGUUAGGAAGGUUUGAGUCUCUUCAUUAUCUUCUCUUUGAUGUCAUCCUCUUAAUUAAAUGAAUGAGACCUGACAUCCUCCGGAAAGGAACAGUAUUGGUCCCCUAGUAUCUCUUGUAUUGAAGAACCAGGAGACCACAUGUGACGGCCAACCUUUCCCUCGUCCCUCAAGAUCCCCUCGUCACCAUACAAGUUAUGGUAUACUGUUACUGUUCUUAUGGGGUACCCAAUGUAUGCUCCUUUUCAUCAAAGAGGAAGAAUUACUCUAACAACUAGAUCAGUAGCGUUGCUGAGGAAAAUGACUGUUGCUAUGACAACUGAACAUGUACAUCAUUGAAGAGAUACUC